This 423-nucleotide ribosomal RNA is filed under the name uncultured bacterium. RNAcentral's name for it is "partial 16S ribosomal RNA". It matches the Rfam family "Bacterial small subunit ribosomal RNA", at positions 360 to 775 of the family's 1533-position model. The record is from RNAcentral.
AAUUUUGGACAAUGGGGGAAACCCUGAUCCAGCCAUCUCGCGUGUAUGAUGAAGGCCUUCGGGUUGUAAAGUACUUUUGGCAGAGAAGAAAAGGUACCUUCGAAUACGAGGUACUGCUGACGGUAGCUGCAGAAUAACCACCGGCUAACUACGUGCCAGCAGCCGCGGUAAUACGUAGGGUUCAAGCGAUAAUCGGAAUUACUGGGCGUAAAGCGUGUGUAGGCGGUGCGGAAAGAAAAAUGUGAAAUCCCAGGGCUCAACCUUGGAACUGCAUUUUUAACUGCCGAGCUAGAGUAUGUCAGAGGGGGGUAGAAUUCCACGUGUAGCAGUGAAAUGCGUAGAUAUGUGGAGGAAUACCGAUGGCGAAGGCAGCCCCCUGGGAUAAUACUGACGCUCAGACACGAAAGCGUGGGGAGCAAACAG